GACGAACGCUGGCGGCGUGCUUAACACAUGCAAGUCGAACGGAAAGGCCCUGCUUUUGUGGGGUGCUCGAGUGGCGAACGGGUGAGUAACACGUGAGUAACCUGCCCUUGACUUUGGGAUAACUUCAGGAAACUGGGGCUAAUACCGGAUAGGAGCUCCUGCUGCAUGGUGGGGGUUGGAAAGUUUCGGCGGUUGGGGAUGGACUCGCGGCUGAUCAGCUUGUUGGUGGGGUAGUGGCUUACCAAGGCGUUGACGGGUAGCUGGCCUGAGAGGGUGACCGGCCACACUGGAACUGAGACACGGUCCAGACUCCUACGGGGGGCAGCAGUGGGGAAUAUUGGACAAUGGGCGCAAGCCUGAUCCAGCCAUACCGCGUGGGUGAAGAAGGCCUUCGGGUUGUAAAGCCCUUUUGUUGGGAAAGAAAAGCAGCAGGUUAAUACCCCGCUGUUCUGACGGUACCCAAAGAAUAAGCACCGGCUAACUUCGUG
Molecule: ribosomal RNA, 488 nt
Filed under: uncultured bacterium
Lineage: Bacteria
Description: partial 16S ribosomal RNA
Rfam family: Bacterial small subunit ribosomal RNA
Source: RNAcentral